CUCAUUCGGAUCGGAGUCUGCAACCCGACUCCGUGAAGCUGGAUUCGCUAGUAAUCGCGCAUCAGCCAUGGCGCGGUGAAUACGUUCCCGGGCCUUGUACACACCGCCCGUCAAGCCAUGGGAGCCGGGGGUGCUUGAAGUGCGUCGCCGCAAGGCGCGCCCUAGAGCAAAACCGGUGACUGGGGCUAAGUCGUAACAAGGUAAC
This 205-nucleotide ribosomal RNA is filed under the name uncultured bacterium. RNAcentral describes it as "partial 16S ribosomal RNA". It matches the Rfam family "Bacterial small subunit ribosomal RNA", at positions 1288 to 1500 of the family's 1533-position model. The record is from RNAcentral.